Molecule: long non-coding RNA, 2896 nt
Organism: Phyllostomus discolor (pale spear-nosed bat)
Lineage: Eukaryota; Metazoa; Chordata; Mammalia; Chiroptera; Phyllostomidae
Exons: 2
Source: RefSeq, a predicted model, not a curated record
GAACUUUGUCUCUAGAGGCUGUGGUCGUCGCCGCCGCCGCCACCCCCACCCCCAUCGCCCCAAGGGCUUCGGAUGCCUUCAUCCUCCAGAUGACAGGAUAACCCUGGUGGCCACGUCGCUGCGCCUUUCCCUUGGGGGAGGGGCGAGGCCCGAGUGGGGUCCAAGCGCGGCUCCAGGAACUUGGUCAACUCCUGGGAAGCCUUUGGGUUAAACCACGGAAAUGGAAACAAAAUCAACCCUGAUCUCCCAUGCUGCAUCUUACCUUGGUGGACUUCUUACUGCAGAGUAUUUUUGUUCUGCUUUUUUAAAGAUUUGGGCUUUUCAAGGUUAUUUAAGAGAUACUCAAAAAUCAGCCUCACUUACUGAGCGAAGAGAGCCACAGGUUUAGCAACGGGUGUGGGGUGCAGUGCCUUAUGGGGAUUUAAAGUCCACCUUAGAAGGCAAUAAUGUAUGUACAAAGCCAUGGGUUAUGGUGCUUUUGCUCAAGGAAAAGGUUAAUGAGAUCCUUCAAGGAUUCAGUUUGGCAAUCUGUUCUCAUAUCUGUUUCUGGUUUAGGUCCAGUUCACGUUUAUUUUUAAAAGUAGGUUUGAUUAGCUGGUGGGGGUGUUUUUACACUUUGGGGUGGUAGGGAAACUGCGUGGAGACACUGCUCUUCUCAUCCCUCCUGGAAUGUGGGUUUUGGUGGGAAGUUUCUAUCAAUAGCCUGCUCUGUGCAAUGGGCCAGUGACUGGCGCCGAAUUCCAGCCCUGUGCCAUCGACAUUGACCUAGUUUGAUUCUAUGAGCUUUUGGCUGGGGAGCUGAUUGAUCCAAGGAAUUACAAAAAUUCCCUAUUAACAACAGCACUUAUGCAACAAAUAUUUAUGGAGAGCCCGCUGGGUGCCAGCACUGGACACACGGUGGUUGGUGAGCAAGAAGGAAACGAUCUCUGGGCCAUGUUGCUGACAGUCAGAUGAGGGAGAGACUCACUUUUGACCCAAUUUGUGCGAUGCUGUGAGGCUUUGGGGUUGCCUAGUUGUGUCUCUGAGAGGUUCUUGAUUUUUUUUUAAAAAGUCACCAUCUUUCUACUUGCUUACAUUCCAGUUGGCUUAUUCAGAGAGGGAUGAUAACGGGGAAGGACCUACUGGGCGGGUUCGGGGUGGGGUGGGGUGGGGUGGGAGGGGGAGCAAUGAGUUGCUGGAUAUUAGAGCGUAGCAGUGGCUCUUCACAGCAGCGGUGUGUCCUGAUGGUAAGCCAGCCUGUAUUCUCCUUUCCGCAGCCAUUACCUGUUCUCCCACCUUUCCGUCAGUAACUCUUGCUUCUGUUUCUCAAUCCUUGACCCAUGAGAUGGCUGAAUUAUAUUUGUGCAGUAAAAUAAAGUGACUCAAACUCAUGUCCUUGUAUCCAUUUGAGAUGUAAGAUGUGCUUGCUUGUAAAAAAGGAUCCUUCCCCUUGGUUUUUGUGUCUACAUGUGUCCAUGAGAUACUCUGAAAGUGCCGACCUCCAACAAAACUUAAACCGACUUUGUGAGAGAAUGCAGGUGGCCCUGGGAGGGUGUGGGUAGAGAGGUUGACCGGGAGAGCCUCACCCACGCAGAGGUGAGCUCGGAGUCUCCAAAGAAAGGUGAGAUGUGGAGUCCCUGCCAUGACUGUGAUUUGAUUUUAUGCUUAAAUGGUUUGCUUAAAGCCCUUAGCUUUGUCCCCUGCCUGUGGCUGCUGGUGGCUAAAAGGACUGACAGGACAGGAGGACUAUGGUGUCCCCGGGGGGCAAAGAUGAGGGAGGAGGAACUAGGAAAAUGGGUAGUCUGGGGUGUUUACUGUAGACCUUGAACUCAGACCUCAGUCACUCAGCAACCGGUGUGUCCCAUCACCUCCCAAGUAGCAGGUGUUACUCUAGAUGCUAAGGAUGCAACAGUGAGGAAAAAAAAAAAAACACACUCUUGCUCCUCUUGGUCAUUCUGCCAGAGGCAGACGAUGGAAAUAUAAAAUAGAAGGAUGGAAAACAUGCCAGGAAAGGGAGAGCGGGGAGCACUGGGGGCACAGGGUGGUAUUAGAGCUGGGGGCGCCAGGCCGAAGGACCCCUUCGCCAGCAGCUCGCUUUGCAUGGCCCAGGCCCUCCUGUCUUUGCUUCCAGCAUUUCAAAGGAAUAAAACAAAGUGUAGGUGCAAUAGAAACUAUCGAUCAUGAAACAUUGGUAGGCUUUCUCUUUUCUAAAAGCAUUUUUAUUUUCAUUUGCAAAGGCUGGGAAAUGUGGGGUACUAGAAAAUCUAUGAGGAGCUAGGGAACCACAUUGCUGGCUCCUUACCUGUCUGCCAUGUCUAAUCCCAUCUUCUAGCAGCAAAAUUCUAGGACUGCAGGUAACAUUGCACUUCUGAGAAUGCUUAUUUCAAAGAACUCCCAAGUGCUUCCAAAUGUUCUUUGAAUAGUGGGGUGAGGGGUGCACACCUAUUCCCUGGGACCCACAGGAGAUAGGAGCCCAACAUCUAGUUAACAUGUAAUUGCAGGACCUACUUUUUAGCUAAACUUCAUAUUAUCUGAUUUAAAUUUCUCUUAAUCAUGUGGGCUGUCUGCACAGGGAGAUUUCAUGGGUCACCCUUCCAGACCCAGGAAUCUUACAAAUAACCAAAGCUAUGGGCAGGGAAAGACGGAAGCAGAGCUCAUUGUUCACUGUCCUGUAAGCGUAAUAGAUUCGUGGCCCUUUUAGCCAUAGAGGAACCAGGCAGAAGGGAGAUGUCUCUUCGGCAGACCCCCACACUAUUAGACACAGGGCCCAUAAUUCUGAUCUGUGGAUUCAUCACAUGGGCACGAGGGGAGCAGACGGUGGCUUCGCUGCAGCAAGAAGCCACCCCAGAAAUGACUUCUCUGCUUUGUGCCUCAGGUAUGCCUCUUGUUCCCCACUGAAUAGGAAAAAUACCAAAAA